GAUGAAGAACGUAGCGAAAUGCGAUACUUGGUGUGAAUUGCAGAAUCCCGUGAACCAUCGAGUCUUUGAACGCAAGUUGCGCCCGAAGCCAUUAGGCCGAGGGCACGCCUGCCUGGGCGUCACACGUCGUUGCCCCCCCAUCUACUCCUUCGGGACUGCGGGGGGCGGAUGAUGGCCUCCCGUGCGCCUCGUCGCGCGGUUGGCAUAAAUGCCAAGUCCUCGGCGACGCACGCCACGACAAUCGGUGGUUGCGAAACCUCGGUUGCCCGUCGUGUGCGGUCAUCGCGCAUCGAGGGCUCGAAAAAAUUGUCGGGCUCCGGCUCGGCUUUCAACGCGACCCCAGGUCAGGCGGGGUUACCCGCUGAAUUUAAGCAUAUCAAUAAGCGGAGGA
Molecule: unclassified non-coding RNA, 391 nt
Filed under: soil metagenome
Description: partial contains 5.8S ribosomal RNA, internal transcribed spacer 2, and large subunit ribosomal RNA
Rfam family: 5.8S ribosomal RNA (bases 1-122)
Source: RNAcentral